CGAUCGAAGUCAGUCGUGCUGGGGCGAAAUCAACCCUCUCGUCUUGAGGUCACAUGGCGCGACGAGCCUCAAAACCGUCACGAAGCGUGAACUCUUGAUGAAAAGGUGCACUUUCGUGUCCGCUGGUUAACAUCAAUUUCGAACGUCAUAAAAAGGCUGGAGGGAUGUGGCUCCUUCGGGAGUGUUAUAACCUUUAGCGGAAUGUGGUGUUCGGGAUUGAGGAUUGCAACGAAUACCUUCAGGGCUGUUCCACCUGGCUUCUCUU
This 265-nucleotide ribosomal RNA is filed under the name uncultured Glomus. Its description in RNAcentral is "26S ribosomal RNA". Lineage: Eukaryota; Fungi; Glomeromycota; Glomeromycetes; Glomerales; Glomeraceae. The record is from RNAcentral.